This 341-nucleotide RNase P RNA is filed under the name chicken gut metagenome. RNAcentral describes it as "Bacterial RNase P class B". It matches the Rfam family "Bacterial RNase P class B". From Rfam's summary of the family: Ribonuclease P (RNase P) is a ubiquitous endoribonuclease, found in archaea, bacteria and eukarya as well as chloroplasts and mitochondria. Its best characterised activity is the generation of mature 5'-ends of tRNAs by cleaving the 5'-leader elements of precursor-tRNAs. Cellular RNase Ps are ribonucleoproteins. The record is from RNAcentral.
CGUAAACGCUGCUAAGUUUUUUAGUAGAGGAAAGUCCACGCUCACACGUUUCUGUGAUUGAACGUAGUGUUUGUGCAAGGGGAAUAAAUAACCUUUGGUAGGCUUUGCCUAACGGCGCCGAAUAAGCCUAAGUUCUUUUUGAAUAUGGCUUUAUUAGGCAUAAAGUGCCAUAGUGACGAUUUUACUUGGAAACAAGUAAGGUGGAACGUUGGUAAACCCCGCAAGUGAGAAACCCAAAUAUUGGUAGGGGAAUCCUGGUGAAGGAAACGAACGAAUCCAGGAAUACGAUACGUAUAGAUAAAUGUUUACGGCCGCCUUUGCGGUACAGAACGUGGCUUAUU